UCCCAUUUUGAUGUUUUAAUUAGGGAUUGUAAACUUUUGAAUAUAAAGCCGCCUUAAAAUCUAAAUACUACAGAAUCUCUUGAUGUCGCCAUUAAUAUUUCCCCUCGACCCCCUCAGUAUUUCACCGACGCGCGCCGUCCGGGUUUCUUGUUACCGAUUCAUCUUCUUAAUGUUAUGCAGGUUGAAAAGUGGUUUUGAAUCCGUAAUUAUUUAAGAAACAGAAAAGGAUGCGAAGGGAAAUGAUGCUUUUAUGUUUUGGAUGAUGAAGAUUACGUUUAGCAGAUGCCAAUGGAAUCUCAGGAGCCAUUAGAUUUGGUUCGCUGUUCGUUGUUCGUUGUUCGGCCGAUGAUCGCGCCAAAGCUCUGAUGGGUUUUCGGUCUAUUCCACUCGAGGUUCAUGCAAUGGCUACGGGAUCUGAACAUAUGCAGCUUGUGUUUCUGAUGCCAUGUAAGUCGAAAGCUCGCUUUGAACUACAGAGAGCUCGUUUUGAAGAUCUUCAAGUCUCUUAUGAAGAAUU
Cucurbita moschata (crookneck pumpkin) is the source of this 517-nucleotide long non-coding RNA. RefSeq lists it as uncharacterized. Lineage: Eukaryota; Viridiplantae; Streptophyta; Magnoliopsida; Cucurbitales; Cucurbitaceae. The transcript is spliced from 3 exons. The record is from RefSeq and is a predicted model, not a curated record.